GUGGGUUGUGUCCUUGGCUUCGAAUCCAGUGAUCCUGGGUUUGAAUCCCUCAGA
This 54-nucleotide transfer RNA is filed under the name Cyanoptyche gloeocystis. Its description in RNAcentral is "partial tRNA". The record is from RNAcentral. Lineage: Eukaryota; Glaucocystophyceae.